GAUGAACGCUAGCGGCAGGCUUAACACAUGCAAGUCGAGGGGUAUGCCGAUUUAUCGGCAGAGACCGGCGCACGGGUGCGUAACGCGUAUGCAAUCUACCUUUCACAGAGGGAUAGCCCAGAGAAAUUUGGAUUAAUACCUCAUAGUAUAGCAGUUUCGCAUGAAACCACUAUUAAAGUUCCAACGGUGAAAGAUGAGCAUGCGUCCCAUUAGCUAGAUGGUAAGGUAACGGCUUACCAUGGCUACGAUGGGUAGGGGUCCUGAGAGGGAGAUCCCCCCACACUGGUACUGAGACACGGACCAGACUCCUACGGGAGGCAGCAGUGAGGAAUAUUGGUCAAUGGACGCAAGUCUGACCAGCCAUGCCGCGUGCAGGAUGACGGUCCUAUGGAUUGUAAACUGCUUUUAUACAGGAAGAAACACUCCCUCGUGAGGGAACCUUGACGGUACUGUAUGAAUAAGCAUCGGCUAACUCCGUGCC
RNAcentral lists this ribosomal RNA (481 nucleotides) under uncultured bacterium. Its description in RNAcentral is "bacterial SSU rRNA". It matches the Rfam family "Bacterial small subunit ribosomal RNA", at positions 28 to 509 of the family's 1533-position model. The record is from RNAcentral.